This is a non-coding RNA of Brachypodium distachyon (stiff brome), 125 nucleotides long. Lineage: Eukaryota; Viridiplantae; Streptophyta; Magnoliopsida; Poales; Poaceae. The record is from Rfam.
AAGUUACUCCCUCCGUUCAAUGAUUCUUGUCAAAAUAUUACAUGUAUCUAGACGCUUUUUAGAAAUAGAUACAUCCAUUUUUGGGCAAAUUUGAGACAAGAAUUAUCGAAUGGAGGGAGUAUUUU